CCCUUAGAUGUUCUGGGCUGCACGCGCGCUACACUGAUGCACUCAUCGAGUUUAUGACCUUGUCCGAUAGGAUUGGGUAAUCUUCUUAAAAUGCAUCGUGAUGGGGAUAGAUUAUUGCAAUUAUUAAUCUUCAACGAGGAAUGCCUAGUAGGCGCAAGUCAUCAGCUUGCGUCGAUUACGUCCCUGCCCUUUGUACACACCGCCCGUCGCUCCUACCGAUUGGGUGUGCUGGUGAAAUGUUCGGAUCGGCCGUUUGUCGCGGUUUCCGCGUCAUGUGGCUGAGAAGUUCAUUAAACCCUCCCACCUAGAGGAAGGAGAAGUCGUAACA
This 328-nucleotide ribosomal RNA is filed under the name uncultured eukaryote. RNAcentral describes it as "partial 18S ribosomal RNA". It matches the Rfam family "Eukaryotic small subunit ribosomal RNA", at positions 1470 to 1796 of the family's 1831-position model. The record is from RNAcentral.